GGUGGCAUUUUAUUUUUUAGAGGAACUUGUUAUUUAAUCGAUAAUCCGCGUUAUUUAUUACUUUUACUCAUAGUUUAUAUACCGCCAUCUCAAGAAUUUAUUUUAAUAAUAAAAUUCAAAAUAAUAUUAUAAAAAGUUAGGUAAUGGUGUAAUCUAUGUAAAAGAUUAUAAUGAGUUACAUAUAAAUUAAAUUUUUGGAAAUCUAUACAAAUAUAUUUAUUAAACAGGAUUUAGAAGUAAUAUUAUAUAUUUAAUAAUACUCUUAUAUGAAACUAAUAAAU
This 281-nucleotide ribosomal RNA is filed under the name Parasteatoda tepidariorum (common house spider). RNAcentral describes it as "partial 12S ribosomal RNA". The record is from RNAcentral. Lineage: Eukaryota; Metazoa; Arthropoda; Arachnida; Araneae; Theridiidae.